UAAGUUCGAAAACUUACCUACUUCUUCAGCUCGUGCCAGAUUACAUGCAAAGGUCGUAAAAACGAAGAAGCAGCAAAACAAGGCUUUUCUUGUGGGUAUCCGAGGAAACUUCGUUUGAGACUUUGAGGUAGCAGUACGUAGAAGUGGAGACUGAAGACACAAUUAGAUCAACGCCCGAGGCGACGAAUUUUCUAGUUGACGUUUCCAAAAGAAAAGGCUUCAUCAUAACGUGUCAAACUUCGCCUAUAUGGUUAAUUUGGAACAUCUUCUGAGUCUUUAGAUGACAAGUAGCUGGCUUAUUCAAUGUUGCCGGUAAGCUACUCAGCAGCAUAGCUUACAUUCUUUGAUUUGGAUGUACAAACGUUAAGUUCAAAUGUGUGCAGCCAAACUACAAAAUGAAAGGGAUACAAGGGAAAAGUAAAUUAAGGACAAAAUAGCUUGUCUUCCCUCACUCUUCAAAUGGAACUAGAAGGCUUUGCUUUAACUCCAUUUCUGUAUGAAGCCUAUUUUCCCUCUUUCGGCGUUUAUUAAUUUAUUGGACUUUCCCUUUACAAAUUCAGGGUCCAAA
Coffea arabica (coffee) is the source of this 568-nucleotide non-coding RNA. The record is from RefSeq and is a predicted model, not a curated record. Lineage: Eukaryota; Viridiplantae; Streptophyta; Magnoliopsida; Gentianales; Rubiaceae.